UAGAAGAGCAGAGGGAGGGAAAGCAGAAGGUAAGCCGGGGAAAGAAGGGGGCAGCGCGGAAGAGGCUAGUCCGCUGGGAGGCAGGGAGAGGCGGUGGGAAAGAAAGAAAGAAAAGAGAAGAGAGCGAGAAAGAAGUAAAGUUAAGGACGCCUCGCGGGCAGCAGCGUCUUCUUCCCGCCACCUUCCAGAUCCAGCCCCAGCGACCCUAGCCGCGGAGCGGGCAGUCCCGCCACUCCGGCGCCUGGGGGGGGGCAGAGAGAGAGGACGAGGCGGCGGAGGGGAGGCAGCUCUUCCACCCGCUCUUCCCACCCACCCCCACCCCGGCUGUGCAAACUCUUCACGGCCGGAGCUCCUUCGCCUCCCCGGACACCACCCGAGCAUCUUCCGCAUCUAAUUGACGUGGGCGGCGGGGGGAGGGGAGUUGGUGGUAUCCCCGGGAGAAAGGGCGGGAGGAGGAAGAUGGAGGCGUCGAGGAAAGAGACCUAGGGAGCGGGAGAGCGAGAGGGCAUGGAAAGGGCAGGGGGCUUCCGAGGAUGAGGGCUCGCUCGCUGGGUGCAUAAGGGCCGCCCGCCAGGAGGCUCGACUUCCGCCUGUCUCCGGAGCCUGUGAAGGGGGUCUUUGCUGCGGGAUGCUGAGGAGGGGGCCGCUCAGGCUUUAAGCCCCCUCCUGACCUACCAGGAUGUGGACCGGACCUGGCAGAGGGCUCUGCCUGCUGGGAGCGCCGGGGUUGCUGCUGCUGCUGGUGCUGAGAGCAACUUGUAUGGCUGUGCAAUUUGUUCCUGCAAAGACCUACGAGGACUGGUGGGCAUACAAGGAAACACUUCACGGAAGCUUUGUGCCAGGUCCUCCCUUCUGGGGUCUGGUGAAUUCAGCAUGGAGCCUCUGUGCCAUUGGCAAACGCCAGUCUCCUGUGGAUGUCAACACAAGUCAAAUGAUUUUUGAUCCCUUCCUCCCUCCACUUCGGCUCAGUAUUGGUGGAAAAAAGAUUAGUGGAACCAUGUACAACACAGGCCGACAUGUCUCUUUUCGUCCAGAUCCAGUACAGCUGGUUAAUGUUUCAGGAGGACCUCUGCCAUACAGUCACCGGCUCCAAGAAAUACGGCUGCAUUUUGGCAGUGAAGAUGGAUUUGGCUCAGAACACCGGAUAGAUGGCGACAGCUUUUCUGCUGAGGUACAGUUGAUCCACUACAACCAAGAACUCUACCCCAAUAUUUCUGAGGCUUCGCGCAAUCCCAAUGGUUUAGCUGUCAUUUCUAUCUUUGCCAAUAUUGGACCAAAUCCUAACUCUUUCCUGACCAGGCUGUUAAACCGAGAAACAAUUACCCGGAUCUCCUAUAAGAAUGAUGCUUAUCUUCUACACGAUCUGAGCCUGGAAGACCUUUAUCCAGAGACAUUUGGUUUUAUCACUUACCAAGGAUCCAUGUCAACCCCUCCAUGCUACGAAACAGUAACCUGGAUUCUCAUUGACCGUCCCAUCAAUAUUACCUCCGUUCAGAUUCACUCCCUUCGUCUUCUCAGUCAGAACCUCCCUUCUCAAAUUUUCCGGAGCAUGAGUGACAACUCAAGACCUCUCCAGCCCCUUUUACACCGAAGCCUUCGGGGCAACCGAGACCCACGGCGCCCCACUAAACGUUGCAAAGGAGCCUCCUACAGGCUACAUGGAUAACUCUGGCGGAAUGGGGCAACUUGUCACAAUCAACUCGCUGGGAGACAACUGGCAUUGGUCAACUCACCACAGGACAACUUGCUGCGGGACAAUUCAACAGUUCAAUUGAAUUAUUUAAAACAUUGAUGGAACACAGCCUCCCAAACCAGGCAUGUAGUUUUGCUGCAAGCUCCUGAAUGUCUGAGUGUGUCCGUCGCUCAAAAUGCUCAAAGUGUCCAACUGAGGAAGCUACAAUCUCCCAUCUCUGAAUGAUUGCCAUAGCUUCCAUUGUGGGAAAGGCAACAUGUGGGGUACCAGGGAACCAGGCUGGAAUUCUUGCCUUGGGGUGUUUGGAAAACUUUGAUCACAAUAGGGUUGGGUUGCCAAAAGCUUAAACAAUGAAAUGAGGGCUAUUAAUUUGCAGAAUAAGGCACAUCUCCCCCAGUGCUAUAGCCUAAUAUUUAAAGAAGGCGGGAGCAUCCAGGAGUGUGAGGAUUAGAAUCUUUGCAUUGCCUCCCUGCUAAAGGAGGCAAUGCAAAGAUUGUCUGUUCUGGAGAUCAGAUUUAUUCAAAAUCUCUAUUAGGUGGAGGCAAUGUACUCCAAAUUAUAUACAGAACUAAACUGUAUCAGGCAGACAGUUGUAUUCCCAAUACUGAAUGCGCCUUAGAAUGUUUCCUUAGAAAUGCAGAGGAACAUCCUUAUAAUAUCCUGGUGAGACUCCAAUAUGUUUGGGGGGACAUUCUGAGACCCACAGGAGCCUUGGGACUAAAAAUUAUAGUGAGAUAGUUUUCUCCAAGAUUUUAAAAUGCCAUGAAUCUCAGGAAGUUUAAGAGGGGGGGAAUUGCAUUACAUGGGUGUAACCCCACAAACUCUAAGCUUCAAUUGUUCUUUUUAAGAAGAGUUAUCUUGGAACUUUAAUCUGGGUAAAACUUGAGAGAAUCUGGGGUGGAAAACAAAUAUGAUCUCCCUCCCUACUCUAUCCUGGGGUGGGGGGAGGGUUGAGAGAACCAGUAAAAUAAGGGAUCUGUGCUUAUCACUUCAUUCUAAAUGGCCUUCAACAGCCCUAACUGUAAAACAGGAGAGGGAAUAUUUUUAUUGCCAAACGAACCCACCUUUUGAAUAUUGAUGAGUAUUAUUAACUUAAGAAAAACACUGGUUUUCCAAACAA
RNA transcript from Crotalus tigris (Tiger rattlesnake), 2813 nucleotides. It is a transcript of the gene named carbonic anhydrase 11, with no coding region annotated. The transcript is spliced from 10 exons. NCBI's taxonomy places the organism in Eukaryota, Metazoa, Chordata, Lepidosauria, Squamata, Viperidae. The record is from RefSeq and is a predicted model, not a curated record.